RNAcentral lists this ribosomal RNA (491 nucleotides) under uncultured bacterium. RNAcentral describes it as "partial 16S ribosomal RNA". It matches the Rfam family "Bacterial small subunit ribosomal RNA", at positions 29 to 507 of the family's 1533-position model. The record is from RNAcentral.
GUGCACGCUGGCGGUAGGCCUAACACAUGCCAGUCGAACGGCAGCACAGUAAGAGCUUGCUCUUACGGGUGGCGAGUGGCGGACGGGUGAGGAAUACAUCGGAAUCUACUUUUUCGUGGGGGAUAACGUAGGGAAACUUACGCUAAUACCGCAUACGACCUACGGGUGAAAGCAGGGGAUCUUCGGACCUUGCGCGAUUGAAUGAGCCGAUGUCGGAUUAGCUAGUUGGCGGGGUAAAGGCCCACCAAGGUGACGAUCCGUAGCUGGUCUGAGAGGAUGAUCAGCCACACUGGAACUGAGACACGGUCCAGACUCCUACGGGAGGCAGCAGUGGGGAAUAUUGGACAAUGGGCGCAAGCCUGAUCCAGCCAUACCGCGUGGGUGAAGAAGGCCUUCGGGUUGUAAAGCCCUUUUGUUGGGAAAGAAAAGCAGCAGGUUAAUACCCCGCUGUUCUGACGGUACCCAAAGAAUAAGCACCGGCUAACUUCGUG